This 853-nucleotide ribosomal RNA is filed under the name Paraburkholderia sp. RNAcentral's name for it is "bacterial SSU rRNA". It matches the Rfam family "Bacterial small subunit ribosomal RNA", at positions 19 to 869 of the family's 1533-position model. The record is from RNAcentral. Lineage: Bacteria; Pseudomonadati; Pseudomonadota; Betaproteobacteria; Burkholderiales; Burkholderiaceae.
CUCGCUCAGAUUGAACGCUGGCGGCAUGCCUUACACAUGCAAGUCGAACGGCAGCACGGGGGCAACCCUGGUGGCGAGUGGCGAACGGGUGAGUAAUACAUCGGAACGUGUCCUGUAGUGGGGGAUAGCCCGGCGAAAGCCGGAUUAAUACCGCAUACGCUCUACGGAGGAAAGGGGGGGAUCUCAGGACCUCCCGCUACAGGGGCGGCCGAUGGCAGAUUAGCUAGUUGGUGGGGUAAAGGCCUACCAAGGCGACGAUCUGUAGCUGGUCUGAGAGGACGACCAGCCACACUGGGACUGAGACACGGCCCAGACUCCUACGGGAGGCAGCAGUGGGGAAUUUUGGACAAUGGGCGAAAGCCUGAUCCAGCAAUGCCGCGUGUGUGAAGAAGGCCUUCGGGUUGUAAAGCACUUUUGUCCGGAAAGAAAACCUCCGCCCUAAUAUGGUGGGGGGAUGACGGUACCGGAAGAAUAAGCACCGGCUAACUACGUGCCAGCAGCCGCGGUAAUACGUAGGGUGCAAGCGUUAAUCGGAAUUACUGGGCGUAAAGCGUGCGCAGGCGGUCCGCUAAGACAGAUGUGAAAUCCCCGGGCUUAACCUGGGAACUGCAUUUGUGACUGGCGGGCUAGAGUAUGGCAGAGGGGGGUAGAAUUCCACGUGUAGCAGUGAAAUGCGUAGAGAUGUGGAGGAAUACCGAUGGCGAAGGCAGCCCCCUGGGCCAAUACUGACGCUCAUGCACGAAAGCGUGGGGAGCAAACAGGAUUAGAUACCCUGGUAGUCCACGCCCUAAACGAUGUCAACUAGUUGUUGGGGAUUCAUUUCCUUAGUAACGUAGCUAACGCGUGAAGUGAC